Molecule: microRNA, 21 nt
Filed under: Populus trichocarpa (black cottonwood)
Lineage: Eukaryota; Viridiplantae; Streptophyta; Magnoliopsida; Malpighiales; Salicaceae
Description: ptc-miR6457a
Source: miRBase by way of RNAcentral
UAAUCUCUCUGCAGAAUGCUG